CUACCUGUGGGAAGAAGUUCAACGAUAAGUCAAAUUUAAAAUGGGAAUUUUCUUGUGGCGAAUGCCAUGAGAAAUUUGACAGUGUGAAUGCACUUCGUNCCCACCUGGAUACAGCUCACCCUACACCCUCCACACGUGGAACCAAGANGAAAAACGAUUCUCCACAGAAAAUCUCAAACAAGAAACAGAAAAAGGAUAAGAAUUCUUCUGAACAAGAUAUUAGCAAGCCACAACAGCAAGUAAUUACAAACNGGCCCGCUGGCCCACCCAACCAUGCCACCCACUCUGGUCUUGAAUGUGGAUGAAGUCACGCGAGACACGUCAAGUAUUGUUUAAUUUCGGCAAACCAAGUUAAAACAAAAAAGAAAAUAAGAGAGACACGGACGCACACACAAGAAAUAAAAUACUUGUGUGGUAUAAANGUUAAAAAUAGAAUUCCCAACACUUUAACAGAAAAAAAGUUUGCUAUAGAUAAGUUUUUAUCGCAUAAAAA
RNAcentral lists this unclassified non-coding RNA (493 nucleotides) under Actinia tenebrosa (Australian red waratah sea anemone). RNAcentral's name for it is "uncharacterized LOC116288969, transcript variant X1". Lineage: Eukaryota; Metazoa; Cnidaria; Anthozoa; Actiniaria; Actiniidae. The record is from RNAcentral.